RNAcentral lists this transfer RNA (66 nucleotides) under Nasonia longicornis. RNAcentral's name for it is "tRNA-Pro". The record is from RNAcentral. Lineage: Eukaryota; Metazoa; Arthropoda; Insecta; Hymenoptera; Pteromalidae.
CAAAAAAUAGUUUAUAAAAAUAUUAAUUUUGGAGAUUAAAGAUAUAAUUUUUUAUUAUUUUUUUGA